RNAcentral lists this unclassified non-coding RNA (735 nucleotides) under Hanseniaspora jakobsenii. Its description in RNAcentral is "sequence contains ITS1, 5.8S rRNA gene, ITS2". The stretch from base 310 to 463 matches the Rfam family "5.8S ribosomal RNA". Lineage: Eukaryota; Fungi; Ascomycota; Saccharomycetes; Saccharomycodales; Saccharomycodaceae. The record is from RNAcentral.
CCUGCGGAAGGAUCAUUAGAUUGAAUUAUCAUUUUGUUGCUCGAGUUCUUUUGAAGAUCUUUUACAACUAAAUGGGUUGUUUCAGUUUGAGAUGUGCGCUUAAUUGCGCUGCUUAUUCAGAAACUCUCAGUAGAAGUAAUCUUUUCUUGAAUCUCAGUCAACUACUACACACAGUGGAGUUUUCUACUAAUUUUAAUUCUUUGCUUUGGGUCGAAAGGCCCAGAGUAAAAAAACAAACACAAACAAUUUUUUUUAUUAUAAUUUUUAAGCUAAACCAAAAUUCCUAACGGAAAUUUUAAAAUAAUUUAAAACUUUCAACAACGGAUCUCUUGGUUCUCGCAUCGAUGAAGAACGUAGCGAAUUGCGAUAAGUAAUGUGAAUUGCAGAUACUCGUGAAUCAUUGAAUUUUUGAACGCACAUUGCGCCCUCAGGUAUUCCUGGGGGCAUGCCUGUUUGAGCGUCAUUUCCUUCUCAAAAUAAAAUUUAUUUUUUGUUUUGGUAAUGAGCGAUACUCAGGGUUAGCUUGAAAUUGAAGAUACUUUCUGUGUCUUUAGUAAUUCAACACUUAGCUUCUUUGGAGACGCUGUUCUCGCUGUGAUGUAUUUAUGGAUUCGUCUAUUUCUGCAUUUGCAAGGGAAUCGGUAAAGUACCUUAGGCAAAGAGUUGUUUUUAAUAUUCAUAAAGUUUGACCUCAAAUCAGGUAGGAUUACCCGCUGAACUUAAGCAUAUCAAUAA